Molecule: ribosomal RNA, 497 nt
Filed under: uncultured bacterium
Lineage: Bacteria
Description: partial 16S ribosomal RNA
Rfam family: Bacterial small subunit ribosomal RNA
Source: RNAcentral
GAUGAACGCUGGCGGCGUGCCUAAUACAUGCAAGUCGAGCGAACAGACGAGGAGCUUGCUCCUCUGACGUUAGCGGCGGACGGGUGAGUAACACGUGGAUAACCUACCUAUAAGACUGGGAUAACUUCGGGAAACCGGAGCUAAUACCGGAUAAUAUAUUGAACCGCAUGGUUCAAUAGUGAAAGACGGUUUUGCUGUCACUUAUAGAUGGAUCCGCGCCGCAUUAGCUAGUUGGUAAGGUAACGGCUUACCAAGGCAACGAUGCGUAGCCGACCUGAGAGGGUGAUCGGCCACACUGGAACUGAGACACGGUCCAGACUCCUACGGGAGGCAGCAGUAGGGAAUCUUCCGCAAUGGGCGAAAGCCUGACGGAGCAACGAAGCGUGAGUGAUGAAGGUCUUCGGAUCGUAAAACUCUGUUAUUAGGGAAGAACAAAUGUGUAAGUAACUAUGCACGUCUUGACGGUACCUAAUCAGAAAGCCACGGCUAACUACGUG